AUGUGCGGCCUCAGCCGAGCACAGGCGCUGAAGGCCUCCACGAAGCUCUCCCACCUUAGAUCCCCCUCCAAGCCAGACGUCGUCCUCGCCUUCCUCGCUGGCCUCGGCCUCUCCACGGCCGACAUCGCCGCCGCUGUUGCUAGGGACCCGCAACUCCUCUGCACCGGCGUGGAGAGGACCCUGUCCCCCAUCGUAGACGGGCUCACCGGCCUCGGUCUGAGAUCGCGCGCCUCGCCCCGCUCUGCACGAACCAUUUCCGAUGCAAAUCCGUCAUCUCCAAGCCUCGAGAGGGUGGUCAAGCCAAAUGUGGCGUUACUGCAGGAGUGCCCGCUAGGUGCUUGCGAUAUUGGCAGGGUGUGCACCACUAUGCCAAGGAUGCUCACCGCCAGCAUGGAACAAAUACGGGCAGUGGCGGCGUUUACCGACGGUCUUUGUGUGCCCGUUGGCUCCGUGAUGUUUAGGAAAAUUCUGUUGUCUGUUGCAUUGCUCAGCGAGGAGAAGAUUGCCGCCAAAGUGAAGUACUUGAAGAGCACCUUCAGCUGGUCGGAUGCUGAGGUGGGCAUUGCUUUGUCCAAGGUUCUGUCUGCUGAGCAGGUCAAAGAACAUGCUGCAGCGCAGAUCCGAGUUCCUUCUCUCUGA
RNAcentral lists this ribosomal RNA (639 nucleotides) under Triticum aestivum (bread wheat). Its description in RNAcentral is "partial small subunit ribosomal RNA". Lineage: Eukaryota; Viridiplantae; Streptophyta; Magnoliopsida; Poales; Poaceae. The record is from RNAcentral.